UUUGGCGGACGGGUGAGUAAUACAUCGGAAUCUACUCUGUCGUGGGGGAUAACGUAGGGAAACUUACGCUAAUACCGCAUACGACCUACGGGUGAAAGCAGGGGAUCUUCGGACCUUGCGCGAUUGAAUGAGCCGAUGUCGGAUUAGCUAGUUGGCGGGGUAAAGGCCCACCAAGGCGACGAUCCGUAGCUGGUCUGAGAGGAUGAUCAGCCACACUGGAACUGAGACACGGUCCAGCCUCCUACGGGAGGCAGCAGUGGGGAAUAUUGGACAAUGGGCGCAAGCCUGAUCCAGCCAUACCGCGUGGGUGAAGAAGGCCUUCGGGUUGUAAAGCCCUUUUGUUGGGAAAGAAAUCCAGCUGGCUAAUACCCGGUUGGGAUGACGGUACCCAAAGAAUAAGCACCGGCUAACUUCGUGCCAGCAGCCGCGGUAAUAAU
Molecule: ribosomal RNA, 437 nt
Filed under: uncultured Stenotrophomonas sp.
Lineage: Bacteria; Pseudomonadati; Pseudomonadota; Gammaproteobacteria; Lysobacterales; Lysobacteraceae
Description: bacterial SSU rRNA
Rfam family: Bacterial small subunit ribosomal RNA
Source: RNAcentral